GGUAGCAAUACACCGGCGUACGGGUGCGUAACGCGUAUGCCUUUUAGGGUAAUCUGGGGGAUAACUCGGGGAAACUCGAGCUAGUACCGCAUAAGAAAGUAAAGUGGCAUCACUUAGCUUUUAAAGAUUUAUCGGAUUAAGAUGGGCAUGCGUAGGAUUAGAUAGUUGGCGAGGUAACGGCUCACCGAGUCUUCGAUCCUUAGGGGCUCUGAGAGGAGAAUCCCCCACACUGGCACUGAGAUACGGGCCAGACUCCUACGGGAGGCAGCAGUAGGGAAUAUUGGGCAAUGGGCGAAAGCCUGACCCAGCCACGCCGCGUGCAGGAAGACAGCCCUCUGGGUUGUAAACUGCUUUUAACUGGGAAGAAAAGAGCCUAUGCGUAGGAAGUUGACGGUACCAGUUGAAUAAGCCACGGCUAACUACGUGCCAGCAGCCGCGGUAAUACGUAGGUGGCAAGCGUUAUCCGGAUUUAUUGGGUUUAAAGGGAGCGUAGGCGGCUUAAUAAGUCAGUGGUUAAAGGUAGCAGCUUAACUGUUUUACGUGCCACUGAUACUGUUAAGCUUGAGUUGACAGAAGGCAGAUAGAAUUUCU
RNAcentral lists this ribosomal RNA (591 nucleotides) under uncultured bacterium. RNAcentral describes it as "bacterial SSU rRNA". It matches the Rfam family "Bacterial small subunit ribosomal RNA", at positions 83 to 671 of the family's 1533-position model. The record is from RNAcentral.